CAAAACCAAAUAGUUGUCUGAAAAAAAGUAAUUAUAAAAUAAGAAAAGCAACUAAAAUGUCUCAUUCGACCAAUCCAGGAGUGGAAACAUCGAGAUGACCCUACCUUGCCGGAGAAGAUGUCGUCGUCGCCGAUGGUUCGAAAUGUGAUCCUGUAGCUGAAUGUUGCAUUCUGGUGGAUAGAUCUGAGUAUUAGAUAGGUUCCACUCUUUCCUCUCGUGGAUGAUUGGCGAGGCUGCUGUAAAGUCAUUCCAGGGUGAGCACGAUGUUGGCCGCUGCUCGGAUGUUCUUUCCUUUACUUACUUGUCUUGCUCUUAUUUCGAGACAGUUGUAUUAUGAGACAUUAUCAUCUUUCAGUCUUAUAGUAUGUAGUUAGUGCUCUUAUAAGACCAGACCAGAUCUAUGGGGUUGUAUUAGUAUUUUUGCACUUUAUCUUAUGUGGAUGGUUUGAGACUUA
Molecule: long non-coding RNA, 455 nt
Organism: Lycium barbarum (goji berry)
Lineage: Eukaryota; Viridiplantae; Streptophyta; Magnoliopsida; Solanales; Solanaceae
Exons: 2
Source: RefSeq, a predicted model, not a curated record